Tinamus guttatus (white-throated tinamou) is the source of this 264-nucleotide non-coding RNA. Lineage: Eukaryota; Metazoa; Chordata; Aves; Tinamiformes; Tinamidae. The record is from RefSeq and is a predicted model, not a curated record.
GAGACAGAGAGAGAGAGAGAGAGAAACCCAAGAGAUAUCCCCACACAAAGCCUUAAAGGACGCCGAGAAGGAAAAGUUUGGCGCGGCGAGGGGAAGGCUGUGCGGUGGAGAUGUACUCCUAGGGGAGCACAGGGGAGAAGGACCGGGGGCUUUUUGAUCUCCCCCCCACACACACUCUUUUUCGCUUUUUAGCCUUUGUUUGGUUUCCUCCCCGCGAGCGGCAAACCUAGUCGAGAAGAAGGCGGCGGAGGAAGGGACGAAAGG